Molecule: long non-coding RNA, 1978 nt
Organism: Orcinus orca (killer whale)
Lineage: Eukaryota; Metazoa; Chordata; Mammalia; Artiodactyla; Delphinidae
Exons: 2
Source: RefSeq, a predicted model, not a curated record
CGCACUUGGGCCAACCCGCGGACACUCCUGGCUCCACUCAUUCAUUGCACGAGGGUGCAGCCGUCCUACUGGCCUUGAAAUUUGAAAACUCCGCUCCCCACCCCCACGUUUCCGAGGAAGAUAAGACUCAAAGAAGUGAAGUCACUUGACCAAGGUCACACAGUAACAGUCAAGUUUCAAACCCUGGCAGCCAGGAGCUAGAAGUCAUUCAAGUCACCCUAUGUAUGAAGGAAGGAGGUGUCAAGUGGUUGAGCAAAGGUUAAAAAAAAUCUUAAAUAUUGGCUGACCUAAGACUCGUGAGGUGCCUGGCGAUUGAUUUAUAUUGAUGUGGGAGACGGAUGAAAUUCAGAUUUUAAGGAGGGACGCCGAAAUGAAAUCACCCCUCACGACCCCCCAAAUUCCAGAGUACAUCUAUCAAUACUAACAUCUAAUUCCAAACUUUGAAAGAAUUCAGAUCCCUUUCUUAAUUUGAAUACUGGAUAAUGUAGAUUUGGCUGAGUUUUAACUGCUUUUUGUCUUUGUACAUUUCUAAGUAUUGUUGGACUAUAAAUGCUGUGAGAGAUGGAGUCGAGAGCAUAAACAGUUGGGCAGUUCUGGUGUUAGAAUUUGCAGAUCUUUUGUUUAAGUCAUUAGAAUGAAACUCCUAAAAAUAUCUCUUCUUAAUCUCUGUAAGGUUUUUUCAUUUUAUAGUUUCUUAAAAGAAAAACCCAUUAAAUAGACCCCUGAAAUGUUGCUGCCAUUUGUGGGUGAAAACCUUAUUUGUUCAGUACCUGGCAUUUAUUUAAGAACCACACUUUUUUUUUUUUGCACCUUCAUGAAUGUAUUUAUUUUCUCUUUUUAUUAUUGUUAUUUUAUAUAGCAGGUUCUUAUUAGUCAUCAAUUUUAUACACAUCAGUGUAUACAUGUCAAUCCCAAUUGCCCAAUUCAGCAUACCACCAUCCCCACCCACUGGGGUUUUCCCCCCUUGGUGUCCAUACGCUUGUUCUCUACAUCUGUGUCUCAACUUCUGCCCUGCAAACCAAAGAACCACACUUUUAAUACUAGUUACUACAGUUCUUCGAUUUAUGUGAGGCAGCAGUGGGUCAGAAAUGGAUUAAACAGUUUGCAAUAGGAAAAGAACUUAAAAUUUUGUUUUUCAUUCAAAAAUUGUAAAUUCUGCAUAUCUGUGCAGGGACACGUGCGACUAGUUAAGAGCUGACUUUAUUUCGUUGAGAAGGCAGGAAAAAAUGGAAUCUAUGGAUUAGAAACAUUAGAAUUUUAAGAUUAGGUAAGUCUUGUUAAGUCCAGGGUUGCCCAUAACUCUGUAUUCAUAUAAUAUUUUGUUAAUUUUAAUCUUGUUUUUUAAAUUGUGCCAAGAAAUUUGCCUUGAUAAACUUGGAUUAUUUAUAAUGAGAUCAGUCUUUGUUUAUUAAUAAUUUCUAUACAUGUUUUGUACUUGAAAACCAGAUUUUUUUUAACAUUUCAUUUUUUUCAUUGAAAUUAAUAAAGCAUUGUGUUUUAAUUCCUCGGGAAUAAGCUAGCUGCUCAACAGACGUAAAUUUCCUUCUUUUCUAGUCAGUGUUAAAUGGGCAGGGAAAGGGUUGAAAAUGAUCCAUUGAGAAUAUAUAUAAUCCAAGGUAGAAAAGGUUGAUAAUUUCUGUGAUUCCUUUUUUUAAUGCCCCACAAACUUUUUCCUGUAAAAAUUCUAAUGAAGAUUUGAGUAUAUCUGAAAAUGGAGGGAAAUGUGAGUUUUGUGGCCUUGUUAGAAUUGUUUACAUGUUAGAGAUUGUCUCCUUUUUUAAGGUGGAGGACUGUACAAGCUAAGUGAGAAGUAGUUCGGUAAUAGUACUAAAAAGACCAUUCAAAAGUGAAGUCUUAUUUAGGAGAAUACCGUGUUGGUUUUAGAUUUUAGUCACUACAGCUUUGCAGUUCUUUUCUACUCUAAACUUUUUAGUGGAUUUUCCUUAAGGAGGCAUCACUUCUGCAACCCACCUGAGAA